RNAcentral lists this unclassified non-coding RNA (334 nucleotides) under soil metagenome. RNAcentral describes it as "partial contains 5.8S ribosomal RNA, internal transcribed spacer 2, and large subunit ribosomal RNA". The stretch from base 1 to 119 matches the Rfam family "5.8S ribosomal RNA", at positions 35 to 154 of the family's 154-position model. The record is from RNAcentral.
GAUGAAGAACGCAGCGAAAUGCGAUAAGUAAUGCGAAUUGCAGAAUCCGUGAGUCAUCGAAUCUUUGAACGCACAUUGCGCCCUAUGGUAUUCCGUAGGGCAUGCCUGUUCGAGCGUCAUUCAAACCUUCAAGCUCUGCUUGGUGUUGGGCGUCUGUCCUGCCUCACGGCGCGGACUCGCCUCAAAUCUAUUGGCGGCCGGCACGUUGGCUUCGAGCGCAGCAGAAACGCGAACUCGAGACCGGCGGAUCGGCUCCCAGAAGCUACCCCCAUGAAUUUGACCUCGGAUCAGGUAGGGAUACCCGCUGAACUUAAGCAUAUCAAUAAGCGGAGGA